Molecule: ribosomal RNA, 252 nt
Filed under: uncultured bacterium
Lineage: Bacteria
Description: partial 16S ribosomal RNA
Rfam family: Bacterial small subunit ribosomal RNA
Source: RNAcentral
UACGUAGGGGGCUAGCGUUAUCCGGAUUUAUUGGGUUUAAAGGGUGCGCAGGCGGCGUGUCAAGUCAGCGGUAAAAUGUCGGGGCUCAACCCCGGCCGGCCGUUGAAACUGGCGUGCUCGAGUUGGAGAGAAGUAUGCGGAAUUCGUGGUGUAGCGGUGAAAUGCAUAGAUAUCACGAAGAACCCCGAUUGCGAAGGCAGCAUACCGGCUCCACACUGACGCUGAGGCACGAAAGCGUGGGUAUCGAACAGG